Molecule: ribosomal RNA, 460 nt
Filed under: uncultured bacterium
Lineage: Bacteria
Description: partial 16S ribosomal RNA
Rfam family: Bacterial small subunit ribosomal RNA
Source: RNAcentral
CCUACGGGUGGCAGCAGUGAGGAAUAUUGGUCAAUGGACGAGAGUCUGAACCAGCCAAGUAGCGUGAAGGAUGACUGCCCUAUGGGUUGUAAACUUCUUUUAUAAAGGAAUAAAACGAGGCACGUGUGCCCUUUUGCAUGUACUUUAUGAAUAAGGAUCGGCUAACUCCGUUCCAGCAGCCGCGGUAAUACAGAGGAUCCGAGCGUUAUCCGGAUUUAUUGGGUUUAAAGGGAGCGUAGAUGGGUUGUUAAGUCAGUUGUGAAAGUUUGCGGCUCAACCGUAAAAUUGCAAUUGAUACUGGCAGUCUUGAGUACAGUUGAGGUAGGCGGAAUUCGUGGUGUAGCGGUGAAAUGCUUAGAUAUCACGAAGAACCCCGAUUGCGAAGGCAGCUUACUAAACUGUGACUGACAUUGAUGCUCGAAAGUGUGGGUAUCAAACAGGAUUAGAUACCCCUGUAGUC